Molecule: ribosomal RNA, 404 nt
Filed under: uncultured bacterium
Lineage: Bacteria
Description: bacterial SSU rRNA
Rfam family: Bacterial small subunit ribosomal RNA
Source: RNAcentral
AACGAACGCUGGCGGCAUGCCUAACACAUGCAAGUCGAACGAGACCUUCGGGUCUAGUGGCGCACGGGUGCGUAACGCGUGGGAAUCUGCCCUUCGGUUCGGAAUAACUCAGGGAAACUUGAGCUAAUACCGGAUAAUGACGUAAGUCCAAAGAUUUAUCGCCGAAGGAUGAGCCCGCGUAGGAUUAGCUUGUUGGUGGGGUAAUGGCCCACCAAGGCGACGAUCCUUAGCUGGUCUGAGAGGAUGAUCAACCACACUGGGACUGAGACACGGCCCAGACUCCUACGGGAGGCAGCAGUGGGGAAUAUUGGACAAUGGGCGAAAGCCUGAUCCAGCAAUGCCGCGUGAGUGAUGAAGGCCUUAGGGUUGUAAGCUCUUUACCCGGGUAUGAUAAUGACAGUACC